CGCGGAUCCUUAAAGCAUUUUAAAACCCUUUUUCCAUCCUUUUUUCCCAACUGCUGCCAACAUUUCAAACAAAGAACCACAGCCCCAAAAUUGAAUCUGCUAGGGUUCUCAACAUCUGCCAGAUUCAUCAUUUUGUGUACCACCAUGAGUAGAUCCAUGCCUCAUCCAUGAAAAUGUGGUAAGAUACUUUCCUUUUUCUUUUUCUUUCGCAAAACAUUUGACUCCAUUAUUUUUUCUUUUUUCUUUUUUUGAAAAAAAAACUUUAAAUCUAACAUGGUUUAUUCGAAAAAAAGGCUAAAAACAUUUGAUUCCAUUUGACCCUCGUCCAGAUCUCAAUAUUACUGAGAUAUUUUGGAUUUCAUGGGCAUCGAUUCACAUGCUGAAAAAAAACUAGCCAACCAAGGAAAUUAAUCAGAGAAAAAAAAAACUUGAGAUCACCUUUAAAAAUUCUCUUUCGAAAUUUUCUUUGUAUUCUGUAUGUGUAAAGUGUGCGUGUAUGCGUACAGUGUGAGUAAUCUCUUUUUCUACAUAGUACAUUCAGUCCCUUUUUAUAGUUGAAAAAUGAAAAUAAAAUAAAUAAGAAAAAUUGAAUUGCUUUGCUGUAAUCUACUGUGUAUUCUGUUACUUGUGCCUUCUCGUGUGUUCCAUUUGCAGGUGUGGAGAAAUGGCAAUGCAGAAGAAUCCGCUCGUGGAAGCCGUGCAUGGGAAUCACUCGUGGGAUCGAUCUGUUGCUGCUCUAGCGUCUUCCAGAAACUCCUAGGGUUUCUGGUGCUUUCACAUUAUUGGGCUCCUUUGGGCCGUUUAGGAAUUGGGUCAGGGAUUAAAUUAGGGGUUUUGGGUGUAAUGGGAUUUUGGGUUGGUGUUUUGGGCCUUUAUUAUUUUUUUGGGUUAAUUGUAAAUGGACUUUUUAUGGACAUUUAUUGGAUUUUUGUUAUUUUAUUUUGUUAUUUUUUUGGUUUGGUAUGGGCCUGGGCGAAAUGGGCCUAUUACAUGCGUAGUAAACUAGAAGUUAACUAGUCCAAUUAUAUUAAUUAGUCGGUGUAACAUCCUUAAAACUCCCUCAGUCGAGAGUAGUGUUAGUACAAGUUGACAUAUGUUAAGAUUUUCAAAGGAAAUUAAAUAAGAACUAUUACUAUUAGUAAAGAAGGUAGCUAGAUAUUGAGAGAAAAUUAAAAAGAAUUGGGUAUUAAGAGGAAUAAAUUCGAGGUAUUGACUAAAAUAUAAAGAUAUAAAAAGUUUUGAAGUUAAAGUGUAAAUAUUCAAAAGUUAAGGGAUUAAAGUAAAUAUGAGAAAGUCAAAGGAUGAAAAAUGAACAUGAAAAAAAGUUUCUU
This 1331-nucleotide long non-coding RNA is filed under the name Gossypium barbadense (sea-island cotton). RNAcentral describes it as "long non-coding RNA (GBAR_LNC012216)". Lineage: Eukaryota; Viridiplantae; Streptophyta; Magnoliopsida; Malvales; Malvaceae. The record is from RNAcentral.